This 253-nucleotide ribosomal RNA is filed under the name uncultured bacterium. Its description in RNAcentral is "partial 16S ribosomal RNA". It matches the Rfam family "Bacterial small subunit ribosomal RNA", at positions 524 to 776 of the family's 1533-position model. The record is from RNAcentral.
UACGGAGGUAGCAAGCGUUAUCCGGAUUCACUGGGUUUAAAGGGUGCGUAGGUGGGCAGGUAAGUCCGUGGUGAAAUCCUAUAGCUUAACUAUAGAACUGCCAUGGAUACUAUUUGUCUUGAAUGUCGUAGAGGUAAGCGGGAUAUGUCAUGUAGCGGUGAAAUGCUUAGAUAUGACAUAGAACACCAAUUGCGAAGGCAGCUUACUAUGCGAUGAUUGACACUGAGGCACGAAAGCGUGGGUAGCAAACAGG